CGACCAGUAAACCAUUUUCUAUUAUGCAGGUUGCAGGAUAUAACAAAUAGCCAGUGGCGGAGCUAGGAUUUGUAUUUAUCGGGGUCAAAUUGCACAAAUAAUAAUUAUAGGGGUCAAUUUCUUCAAUGUACUAGAAUCAAUUUUCAAAUUAUAGCUAAAAAUUAACUAAAUUUCAAAGUUUCAUGGGUGUCAUUUGACCCCCAUGAUCUUUGGCUGCCUCCGCCCCUGCAACUAGCUGAUGUUAAACUUUGAUGGAAACAAUUAUAGAGAUUGACUAUUAUCCUCUUGACUAAGAGUAUUCUCCCAAUGAGUUUUAGUUUUUAAUUUGGUUGCAAUUUGCAAAUUUUGUUGUAAUUUCACAACGUUGAUGUGAAAUCCAUUACGUAGUAUAUAAUUGGAACUAAUCUAGGCAUAUAUCCAAAAACUUUGAUAUUUGGAUAUUUUUUUUUUGGUAUUUAUGUACCCAAAAAUAAUUGGAUUUUUAGCAGGUAUGAAAAUCUACACCCGAUCCAAUUUGAACUCGAAAGGACCCCAAUCGAAUCCAAUUUUUUUUUUACAUUUAUCCUAUUGGAUCCUAUAAUCCUCUACCUAAGAAAUCCGACUCCGAACGGUUCAUACCCGAACCAUGGUAGACAAUUGUUGGACUUAAUAAGUCCAACAAUUGUCUACCAUGGUGCCAUUUUCCGUAUGAACCGUUCGGGUAUGUGCCUUAUGUUAUUAGUAAUCAUCACAUUUCCAAUGAUUUAAUGUGGUAGUGAGAUUUAUAAUGGAAGAAAACUAUUAUAUGCAUGGUAGAGUCAAAAAAAAAAUAUGACUAUAUAUAUAAAACUUAUAAACAAGAAUAUAUAUAUAUCUAUAUAUAUAUAUAAAGUUAGCUUUUCUCUCUUCUCAUGAUGCCACCUAAUCAUCCACCUAAACAACAUUUUUAAUUUUACACUAAAAAUAAAAUAUGUAUUAUGGUCCUUUCCGAUUUCCGUAUUAGCUCUAAGUUCUUUCGGUCCUUUUUAUGAUCCCGACUUUCCGUAUUAUCUCUAAAUUCUUUCGAUCCUUUUUAUGAUCCCCGACUUUCCGUAUUAGCUUUAAGCUCUUUCGGUCGUUUUUAUGAUCCCCGACUUUGCGUAUUAGCUCUAAGCUCUUUCGGUCCAUUUUAUGAUCCCCGACUUUCCGUAUUAGCUCUAAGUUCUUUCGGUCCUUUUGAUGAUCCCAGACUUUCCAUAUUAGCUCUAAGUUCUUUCGGUCCAUUUUAUGAUCCCCGACUUUCCGUAUUAGCUCUAAGUUCUUUCGGUCCAUUUUAUGAUCCCCAACUUUCCGUAUUAGCUCUAAGUUCUUUCUGUCCUUUUUAUGAUCCCCGACUUUCCGUAUUAGCUCUAAGUUCUUUCGGUCCUAUUUAUGAUCCCCGAAUUUCCGUAUUAGCUCUAAGUUCUUUCGGUCCUUUUUAUAAUCCCCGACUUUCCGUAUUAGCUCUAAGUUGUUUCGGUCCUUUUUAUGAUCCCCGACUUUCAGUAUUAGCUCUAUGUUCUUUCGGUUCUUUUUAUGAUUCCCGAUUUUCCGUAUUAGCUUUAAGUUCUUUCGGUCCUUUUUAUGAUCCCUGAUUUUCCGUAUUAGCUCUUAAUUCUUUCGGUCCUUUUUAUGAUCCCCGAAUUUCUGUAUGAGCUCUACGACUUUCCGUAUUAGCUCUAAAUUCUUUCGGUCCUUUUAUGAUCCCCGACUUUCCGUAUUAGCUCUAAGUUCUUUCGGUCCUUUUAAUGAUCCCCGACUUUCUGUAUUUGCUCUAAGUUUUUUUGGUCCGUUUUAUGAUCCCCGACUUUCAGUAUUUGCUCUAAGUUCUUUCGGUCUUUUUAUGAUCCCCGACUUUCCGUAUUAACUCUAAGUUCUCUCGGUCUUUUUUAUCAUCCCCAACUUUCAUUAUUAGCUCUAAGUUCUCUCGGUCCUUUUUACGAUCCCCGACUUUCCGUAUUAGCUCUAAGCUCUUUCGAUCAUUUUUAUGAUCCCUGACUUUCCGUAUUAGCUCUAAGUUCUUUCGGUCCUUUUUAUGAUCCCUGACUUUCCGUAUUUGCUCUAAGUUCUUUCGGUCCUUUUAUGAUCCCCGACUUUCCGUAUUAGCUCUAAGUUCGUUCGGUCCUUUUAUGAUCCCUGACUUACCGUAUUAGCUCUAAGUUCUUUCGGUCCUUUUUAUGAUCCCGACUUUCCGUAUUAGCUCUAAGUUCUUUCGGUCCUUUGAUUAUCCCCGACUUUCCGUAUUAGCUCUAAGUUCUUUCGGUCCUUUUAUGAUCCCCGACUUUCCGUAUUAGCCCCCGCACGUUUCGGUCCUUUUUAUGAUCCCCGACUUUCCGUAUUAGCUCUAAGUUCUUUCGGUCCUUUUUAUGAUCCCCGACUUUCCGUAUUAGCUCUAAGUUCUUUCGGUCCUUUUUAUGAUCCCCGACUUUCCGUAUUAGCUCUAAGUUCUUUCGGUCCUUUUUAUGAUCCCCGACUUUCCGUAUUAGCUCUAAGUUCUUUCGGUCCUUUUUAUGAACCCCGACUUUCCGUAUUAGCUCUAAGUUCUUUCGGUCCUUUUUAUGAACCCCGACUUUCCGUAUUAGCUCUAAGUUCUUUCGGUCCUUUUUAUGAUCCCUGACUUUCCGUAUUAGCUCUAAGUUCUUUCGGUCCUUCUUAUGAUCCCCGACUUUCCGUAUUAGCUCUAAGUUCUUUCGGUCCUUUUAUGAUCCCCGACUUUCCGUAUUAGCUCUAAGUUCUUUCGGUCUUUCUUAUGAUCCCCGACUUUCCGUAUUAGCUCUAAGUUCUUUCGGUCCUUUUUAUGAUCCCCGACUUUCCGUAUUAGCUCUAAGCUCUAUCGGUCCUUUGUAUGAUCCCCGACUUUCCGUAAUAGCUCUAAGCUCUUUCGGUCCUUUGUAUGAUCCCCGACUUUCCGUAUUAGNN
This 2916-nucleotide long non-coding RNA is filed under the name Capsella rubella. Its description in RNAcentral is "long non-coding RNA (CRUB_LNC000810)". The record is from RNAcentral. Lineage: Eukaryota; Viridiplantae; Streptophyta; Magnoliopsida; Brassicales; Brassicaceae.